Molecule: ribosomal RNA, 827 nt
Filed under: uncultured soil bacterium
Lineage: Bacteria
Description: bacterial SSU rRNA
Rfam family: Bacterial small subunit ribosomal RNA
Source: RNAcentral
AGAACGAACGCUGGCGGCAGGCUUAACACAUGCAAGUCGAACGCUCGUAGCAAUACGGGAGUGGCAGACGGGUGAGUAACGCGUGGGAACAUACCCUCCGGUUCGGAAUAGCUCAGGGAAACUUGGAUUAAUACCGGAUACGGCCGAGAGGCGAAAGAUUUAUCGCCGGAGGAUUGGCCCGCGUUCGAUUAGCUAGUUGGUGAGGUAACGGCUCACCAAGGCGAUGAUCGAUAGCUGGUCUGAGAGGAUGAUCAGCCACAUUGGGACUGAGACACGGCCCAAACUCCUACGGGAGGCAGCAGUGGGGAAUAUUGGACAAUGGGCGCAAGCCUGAUCCAGCCAUGCCGCGUGAGUGAUGAAGGCCUUAGGGUUGUAAAGCUCUUUCGCUCGGGACGAUAAUGACGGUACCGAGAUAAGAAGCCCCGGCUAACUUCGUGCCAGCAGCCGCGGUAAUACGAAGGGGGCUAGCGUUGUUCGGAAUUACUGGGCGUAAAGCGCGUGUAGGCGGGUCUUUAAGUCAGGGGUGAAAUGCCAAGGCUCAACCUUGGAACUGCCUUUGAUACUGGAGAUCUUGAGUCCGGGAGAGGUGAGUGGAAUUGCGAGUGUAGAGGUGAAAUUCGUAGAUAUUCGCAAGAACACCAGUGGCGAAGGCGGCUCACUGGCCCGGAACUGACGCUGAGACGCGAAAGCGUGGGGAGCAAACAGGAUUAGAUACCCUGGUAGUCCACGCUGUAAACGAUGGAUGCUAGCCGUUGGGGAGCUUGCUCUUCAGUGGCGCAGCUAACGCUUUAAGCAUCCCGCCUGGGGAGUACGGUCGCAAGAUUAAA